AGGUGGGUCUAUCAAUUGCUGUGAGAUAUGCUUUGACAAGGCGGGCUUUUUCCAUAUCAGCUAGUGUUCCUGAAGUUCUGUUGCUGGAUUAUCCUUCUCAUCAACGGCGCCUCUUACCGCUGAUUGCAAAGACUUGCGCUAUGAGUUCCACGACCAACUUUUUGAAAAGAUUAUUCACUAAGAGGACUCCAGAAAGCAACAAGAGUAUUCACAUAUACUGCAGUGCUUUCAAAGCUACACUCUCAUGGCAUACCAUGAGAGUACUUCAGGAGUGUCGUGAAGCCUGCGGUGGCCAAGGCUUGAAAACAGAGAACCGUGUUGGUAUCUUAAAAGGUGAAUAUGAUGUUCAGUCUACCUUUGAGGGAGAUAACAACGUAUUGAUGCAACAGGUACUGUGCAAUUGUUUCUUUGAUGGGAUCUUUUAUUAGACGCGAGCACAUUGAGAUAAGAUUAACUACACAUG
This is a long non-coding RNA of Musa acuminata AAA Group (dessert banana), 463 nucleotides long. RefSeq lists it as uncharacterized. Lineage: Eukaryota; Viridiplantae; Streptophyta; Magnoliopsida; Zingiberales; Musaceae. The record is from RefSeq and is a predicted model, not a curated record. The transcript is spliced from 3 exons.